UAGGGAAUCUUCCGCAAUGGACGCAAGUCUGACGGAGCAACGCCGCGUGAGUGAAGAAGGAUUUCGGUUCGUAAAACUCUGUUGUUAGAGAAGAACAGCGCAUAGAGUAACUGUUAUGCGUGUGACGGUAUCUAACCAGAAAGCCACGGCUAACUACGUGCCAGCAGCCGCGGUAAUACGUAGGUGGCAAGCGUUGUCCGGAUUUAUUGGGCGUAAAGCGAGCGCAGGCGGUCAAUUAAGUCUGAUGUGAAAGCCCCCGGCUCAACCGGGGAGGGUCAUUGGAAACUGGUUGACUUGAGUGCAGAAGAGGAGAGUGGAAUUCCAUGUGUAGCGGUGAAAUGCGUAGAUAUAUGGAGGACCACCAGUGGCGAAGGCGACUCUCUGGUCUGUAACUGACGCUGAGGCUCGAAAGCGUGGGUAGCAAACAGG
This 429-nucleotide ribosomal RNA is filed under the name Bacteroidota bacterium. RNAcentral describes it as "Bacteroidetes bacterium partial 16S ribosomal RNA". It matches the Rfam family "Bacterial small subunit ribosomal RNA", at positions 355 to 776 of the family's 1533-position model. The record is from RNAcentral. Lineage: Bacteria; Pseudomonadati; Bacteroidota.